UUACGGAUAAAAAAAUGGCAGAAGGAUGCUGUAGAUGUCGACGUCCUGCUUGUGGUCUUAAAGUUAGACUUGUGUACAGCUUUACUGGAUUUCUCAUAGGAUUUUCGGUUUUUGUUGUUUUCGGAUUAAAAUACAAAAAUUGGAAUGCUGCUUUGUGGGGUCUUAUAUCAGGUUUGGCUGCAUUAGGAACAUUUUUUCUCCAUUUAUGGUAUGUUAAGAAGAAAAGUCAGAACCGCAUGCCAAAUCUAAAGUUAUUGAUGUUGACUGGUUGUUUAAUACAGUUAGCUGGAGUAGUAGGAUUUGCUGUUUAUUUGGCACUGGCUGUUACACAAAGUCAAGGUCUAACUAUUCAGGGACAAGGAUAUUACUUAACAACAGUGUGGUGUUUCAUGACUUGGAAAUGGGGAUUUUCUUUUUUUUUCUUUUCAAGGAUGUAUCGAAGACAGACUUUAAAUUCUUAUGAAGAAAUCAAUGGGGUUUGAGUCUUACGCAUAUAUUGUACUAUCAGGAAUCGUUUGUUAAAGCUAUAGUCGGUUGUAACAGGGACAUUAUGUAUUGACAGUAUAAAAGUCCCAGGUUGUAAGAGCUAAAGUUGGUUGUUAGAGCCUCUUAAGCUCAUGUUUAUUGUUGUUUGUACAUAUGUGCCAAUUCUAAAUAAAAUUUAUUUAUUUUCUUA
Mytilus californianus (California mussel) is the source of this 676-nucleotide long non-coding RNA. RefSeq lists it as uncharacterized. Lineage: Eukaryota; Metazoa; Mollusca; Bivalvia; Mytilida; Mytilidae. The record is from RefSeq and is a predicted model, not a curated record. The transcript is spliced from 3 exons.